CCUACGGGUGGCAGCAGUAGGGAAUAUUGCUCAAUGGGCGAAAGCCUGAUGGAGCAACGCCGCGUGGGUGAAGAAGGUCUUCGGAUCGUAAAACCCUGUUGUUAGAGAAGAAAGUGCGUGAGAGUAACUGUUAACGUUUCGCCGGUAUCUAACCAGAAAGCCACGGCUAACUACGUACCAGCAGACGCGGUAAUACGUAGGUGGCAAGCGUUAUCCGGAUUUAUGGGGCGUAAAGGGAACGCAGGCGGUCUUUUAAGUCUAAUGUGAAAGCCGUCGGCUUAACCGGAGUAGUGCAUUGGAAACUGGGAGACUUGAGAGCAGAAGAGGAGAGUGGAACUCCAUGUGUAGCGGUGAAAUGCGUAGAUAUAUGGAAGAACACCAGUGGCGAAAGCGGCUCUCUGGUCCGUAACUGACGCUGAGGUUCGAAAGCGUAGGUAGCAAACAGGAUUAGAUACCCUGGUAGUC
This 465-nucleotide ribosomal RNA is filed under the name uncultured bacterium. RNAcentral describes it as "partial 16S ribosomal RNA". It matches the Rfam family "Bacterial small subunit ribosomal RNA", at positions 338 to 795 of the family's 1533-position model. The record is from RNAcentral.